GCAUAUCAAUAAGCGGAGGAAAAGAAACCAACCGGGAUUGCCCUAGUAACGGCGAGUGAAGCGGCAACAGCUCAAAUUUGAAAUCUGGCUCUUUUAGAGUCCGAGUUGUAAUUUGCAGAGGGCGCUUUGGCUUUGGCAGCGGUCCAAGUUCCUUGGAACAGGACGUCACAGAGGGUGAGAAUCCCGUACGUGGUCGCUGGCUAUUGCCGUGUAAAGCCCCUUCGACGAGUCGAGUUGUUUGGGAAUGCAGCUCUAAAUGGGAGGUACAUUUCUUCUAAAGCUAAAUAUUGGCCAGAGACCGAUAGCGCACAAGUAGGGUGAUCGAAAGAUGAAAAGCACUUUGGAAAGAGAGUCAAACAGCACGUGAAAUUGUUGAAAGGGAAGCGCUUGCAGCCAGACUUGCUUGCAGUUGCUCAUCCGGGCUUUUGCCCGGUGCACUCUUCUGCAGGCAGGCCAGCAUCAGUUUGGGCGGUAGGAUAAAGGUCUCUGUCACGUACCUCUCUUCGGGGAGGCCUUAUAGGGGAGGCGACAUACUACCAGCCUGGACUGAGGUCCGCGCAUCUGCUAGGAUGCUGGCGUAAUGGCUGUAAGCGGCCCGUCUUGAAACACGGACC
RNAcentral lists this ribosomal RNA (614 nucleotides) under uncultured fungus. RNAcentral's name for it is "eukaryotic LSU rRNA". It matches the Rfam family "Eukaryotic large subunit ribosomal RNA", at positions 38 to 667 of the family's 3401-position model. Lineage: Eukaryota; Fungi. The record is from RNAcentral.